This 1829-nucleotide long non-coding RNA is filed under the name Gallus gallus (chicken). Its description in RNAcentral is "long non-coding RNA NONGGAT008775". Lineage: Eukaryota; Metazoa; Chordata; Aves; Galliformes; Phasianidae. The record is from RNAcentral.
UCGUAUAGAGGAUUUAAAGCCAGGCAGUUGGCUAACAAAGUGAGAGCAGCGCGAGUAAUUCAAGCCUGGUUUCGAGGCCACAAAGCACGAAAGGAUUACGCAUCUAUGGUCGAAGCUGCGUGUAUUAUUAAGAAUUGCUUCAGAACAAAACGGCAGAGGACCUGGUUUUUGAAAAUGAAGUUCUGCACGCUUACAAUUCAAAGAAGGUGGAGAGCAACCCUUGCAGCAAGAAUGGUUCGGCUUCAGUUUCUGGCAACCAAGAACGCAGUAGUUAAGAUUCAGUUGGCAUACAGACAGUACAGGGCUAGAAGACUUUUAAGAAAGUUUUCAGAACAGAAACAGAAGAAGAGACUGCUUUAUUUUAUAGCAGCUGCAUAUCAUCACGUUUCUGCAAUUAAAAUUCAAAGGGCUUACAGGAUGCACCUCGCCUAUAAGCUAGCAGAAAACCACAUCUCAUCCAUUCUUGUAAUACAGAAAUGGUUCCAAGCAAAAAUGCAACAGAAAAGGUUUCAAAGAGAUUAUCAAAGAAUCAUUCAAUGUCAACGUAUGAUCCGAGGCUGGCUAAAACGCAGAAAUGAUGCAGCAACCCUAAUCCAACGAAAUGUACGAAGAUUCCUCGCCUGCAGACGCAUUGUGGAGAGGAUAUUCUUGGAGAAAAAAUAAUGACACAGCAAAAACUAAAGCUUUAAGGCUCAGUUUGGAAAAGGCUAACAGAAAGAGCAGAGAAGAAAACAAAUUGUGCAACAGAACCUCGAUCGCUAUUGAAUACCUUCUAAAAUACAAACAUAUUUCUUACAUUCUUGCAGCAUUAAAGCAUCUAGAGGUGGUAACCAGGCUCUCCCCUCUCUGUUGUGAAAAUAUGGCCCGGAGCAGAGCGAUCUUCACUAUUUUCGUUCUGAUUCGAAGCUGCAACCGGAGCGUUCCAUGUAUGGAUGUGAUCAGAUAUUCAGUUCAAGUUCUACUUAAUGUUUCAAAGUAUGAAAGAACCACUCAGGCAGUAUACGAAGUAGAUAAUUCUAUAGAUACAUUGCUAGACCUGCUGCAAACAUACAGAGGGAAAGCUGGGGACAAAAUUUCGGAAAAAGGAGGAAGUAUUUUCACGAAGACUUGUUGUUUGUUGGCCAUUCUUUCAAAGGACUCAAAGAGAGCUUUGGAAAUCCGAAGCAUGCCCAGAGUCGUUACAUGCAUUCAAAGCCUCUAUAAGCUUACGGUUCGCAAGUGCAGAAUGGAUGCAGAGAGAACGCUUGUGAAACAGAAGACAAACACCGUAAUUGGUGGAAUUUCCUUUAUUCCGAUAACUCCUCUAAGAAUAAAGACAGUUUCGAGAAUUAAACCGGACUGGGUUUUGAGAAAAGAUAACACGCAAGAAAUUGUGGAUCCUCUCCAAGCAAUUGUGAUGGUGAUGGAUACGCUCGGCAUUGCCUGCUACUGAAAUGUAAAUUAAUGUAGUUGUACAGUAGGUAUGCAGCAGGCAGCUAAAGGAUUUUAAAACAAAACAAAUAAUUGUCAAACACGUUUUUGUAAUUAUCUUUGUUGUACUGUAUACAGCUUCUGAAAUCCUGCCAAAAUCAAUUGUACAAUAAAAUCAUAAGUCCUUGUCUAUUAUACUGUUGCACUGACAUGUUGUUCUUGUACAGCUUUGAAUCUUACCAAUAUCGUGGUAUUUCCCACUCUGACUGAGCGUUGUGUAGUUGUUCGUACGCAAUGGUUAUGUGGGCCUGUCUGAUCUGGAAAGGUGUGGGAAGGACAGAGAGCGUGCCGACUGUAAAACUGGCUCGUGAUCUCCCGAGGCUUGAGAUGGCUUUCUAGCGAGCUACGAGGGAUCAAGC